This 603-nucleotide long non-coding RNA is filed under the name Phasianus colchicus (ring-necked pheasant). Its description in RNAcentral is "lncRNA (ENSPCLG00000001974.1)". The record is from RNAcentral. Lineage: Eukaryota; Metazoa; Chordata; Aves; Galliformes; Phasianidae.
UGGUGAAUUCCAGAUGCUGGUGUUGAAGCCUGUUUAUCAUUGCUCCCUUUCUUAUUGCCACUAAGUGUGGAAGCACCUGUUCCUGCCUCUGUGGACUGCAAUCUCUCAGACUCCUAACUGCAACCAUGGAAGUGUAACAAAUGGCGUUUGGUCUGUCUCUACCUCCACACAUGACUUGUGAAGAAGAUUGCUCUCUUCUCAGAGGCACCUGCCCAUGAUGGGAAUACUGUGACACCUGAACAGGCAAAUUGGCUGGACUGCAGCUGUGGUAUUUUCUCUCUGGAGGUUUAUUCUCCAUAGGAAAACAGUGGCCAAUUGAUGUCUCCAUAAAGCAAUAUUACCAGAAAGCAUACAGUGCAUAACUGCAUGGAGAUCCCACUCCAGGGGAAUAUAUAGAAACCUUCAGCAUGGGCUUAAAAACUAUAGAAAACAGACACCUUGCUAUUUGAUACAUGGAUGAAGAUGCUAUUUGCUUGAGGGAGUCUACCUGAACUUUAUGCAACAUUAAUCUUGACAUCCCUCUCCCGUCUGUUUCAUUUGUAAGUCAAAAGCUUGAAUCUGAAACCCACUAUAUAACAACUUACCCUGACCCUUGCCUGUAAU